UUUUAUUUUGAGCUAGAAAACCAACUUUGGCCUUUAAUGAACAGUCGCCAUCACGCGGAAAGGCCAUUAAAAAUAUUAUGGGAUGCUCAGCAAAUUAAGUUAAUUUAAGAUAUGAAGAGAAAGCCAAAAAGUAAAAAGAGCACAUUCGUAUGGAUCAUUUAGGAGUGUCAUCAACGUUGGAAUUUUCAUGAAAAGAGGGUGACUUCAGAUCAGAUGUGGAUUGUUGGUGCAAGCUAGUAGAAGAUGGAUGUUGCUCGUUGGUCUUUUGGUUGGCAGAUUGUCUAGCAAUUGAGUAUUCAGGAACAUAUGAGUCAAUGUACUUAAUAUUGUGUUGUGUUUUGUUGGUAUCCGCAUUUUCGCUUGCUCGAGAUGUCGUUUGUACUUUGCUAUUAUUCUGGUAUCUGGAGGACACAUUCCAUGCUGGUUGUUGAGACUGGGAAGAUUGUCUUCCUUGACGGCCGUAAUCCGAGGGGUUUCUUAAUCGUUGAGAUCGGUCUUGUUCAGGCCGGUAGUAGCGUUGACCGUCUGCAUGAGAAUGAUUAGAAGUUUGAUUCAUAGCGUUAGUUUCAGAAAAUUCGGAAUUUUUCUGUGGCAAAUCAGACGUUAAAGGUUUAAAAUUUUGCUGACGCUUAGGCUGAUAAUUAACAUUACGACUUCUAUCCAUGUUACCGCCUUCACGAUUGUACGAACCACGUUGGUAUUGCGGUUGUGAGUUAUAAUUUGGCCGACGAAUUCCAUACCACGGAUCGCUAGGUCCACGAGUCAUGAACCGGAACUGUCUCUUACCAUUAGCGGUUUGUUCAAACGCAUGUGAAUUAGCAUCUCUCUGUUCUCUUUUCCUUCUUUUGUCGUACUCAUGAGAAGCACUGUAGCUCUGUAGUUCAGAAGGGUUUGCUGGAUAUGGUGGUGUUGUAAAAUAUUCAUGCUCUAAAGCCAUUGAAGCAGAUAAACGUUCAUCCGGAUUAAGGGUCAAAAUAGCACCGCAAAGAGAAGUCAUUUCCUUUCCGAAAGUAAAAAAUGCAGUUUCAAGUGUUCUAGGGUGUGAAGGAAAAGAGCGAACGCCUUCGCACCCAGGAAGCUUUUCCCAAUUUGGCAUAGUAGCUU
Molecule: non-coding RNA, 1104 nt
Organism: Schizosaccharomyces pombe (fission yeast)
Lineage: Eukaryota; Fungi; Ascomycota; Schizosaccharomycetes; Schizosaccharomycetales; Schizosaccharomycetaceae
Source: the annotation of a GenBank genome assembly